RNAcentral lists this ribosomal RNA (443 nucleotides) under uncultured bacterium. RNAcentral's name for it is "partial 16S ribosomal RNA". It matches the Rfam family "Bacterial small subunit ribosomal RNA", at positions 338 to 795 of the family's 1533-position model. The record is from RNAcentral.
CCUACGGGUGGCAGCAGUGGGGAAUAUUGGGCAAUGGGCGCAAGCCUGACCCAGCAACGCCGCGUGAAGGAAGAAGGCUUUCGGGUUGUAAACUUCUUUUCUCAGGGACGAAGAAAGUGACGGUACCUGCGGAAUAAGCCACGGCUAACUACGUGCCAGCAGCCGCGGUAAUACGGAGGUGGCAAUCGUUAUCCGGAUUUAUUGGGUGUAAAGGGCGUGUAGGCGGGAGCGCAAGUCAGAUGUGAAAACUCAGGGCUCAACCCUGAGCCUGCAUUUUAAACUGUGUUUCUUGAGUGCUGUUGCGGCAAGCGGAAUGCAGGGUGUAGCGGUGAAAUGCGUAGAGAUAAUGAGGAACACCAGUGGCGAAGGCAGAUUGCUGGACAGUAACUGACGCUGAGGCGCGAAAGCGUGGGGAGCAAACAGGAUUAGAUACCCUAGUAGUC